UCCGUAGGUGGAUAAUUAAGUCAGAGGUGAAAUCCUGCAGCUCAACUGUAGAAUUGCCUUUGAUACUGGUUAUCUUGAGUCAUUAUGAAGUGGUUAGAAUGUGUAGUGUAGCGGUGAAAUGCAUAGAUAUUACACAGAAUACCGAUUGCGAAGGCGGAUCACUAAUAAUAUACUGACACUGAGGGACGAAAGCGUGGGGAGCGAACAGGAUUAGAUACCCUGGUAGUCC
Molecule: ribosomal RNA, 229 nt
Filed under: uncultured bacterium
Lineage: Bacteria
Description: partial 16S ribosomal RNA
Rfam family: Bacterial small subunit ribosomal RNA
Source: RNAcentral